AAGCAUGAGCUGUGAUGGGGAAGGAAAUUAAGUACGGAAGUUCCUGAUUUCACGCUGUCAAGAAAAGCCUCUAGGAAGAGUAGUACUGCCCGUACCGCAAACCGACACAGGUAGAUGAGGAGAGAAUCCUAAGGUGAGCGAGAGAACUCUCGUUAAGGAACUCGGCAAAAUGACCCCGUAACUUCGGGAGAAGGGGUGCUCUAUUAGGGUGCAAGCCCGAGAGAGCCGCAGUGAAUAGGCCCAGGCGACUGUUUAGCAAAAACACAGGUCUCUGCAAAACCGUAAGGUGACGUAUAGGGGCUGACGCCUGCCCGGUGCUGGAAGGUUAAGAGGAGUGCUUAGCUUCGGCGAAGGUACGAAUUGAAGCCCCAGUAAACGGCGGCCGUAACUAUAACGGUCCUAAGGUAGCGAAAUUCCUUGUCGGGUAAGUUCCGACCCGCACGAAAGGCGCAACGAUCUGGGCACUGUCUCAACGAGAGACUCGGUGAAAUUAUAGUACCUGUGAAGAUGCAGGUUACCCGCGACAGGACGGAAAG
This 536-nucleotide ribosomal RNA is filed under the name Listeria monocytogenes. Its description in RNAcentral is "bacterial LSU rRNA". It matches the Rfam family "Bacterial large subunit ribosomal RNA", at positions 1552 to 2087 of the family's 2925-position model. The record is from RNAcentral. Lineage: Bacteria; Bacillati; Bacillota; Bacilli; Caryophanales; Listeriaceae.